RNAcentral lists this ribosomal RNA (468 nucleotides) under uncultured bacterium. RNAcentral describes it as "partial 16S ribosomal RNA". It matches the Rfam family "Bacterial small subunit ribosomal RNA", at positions 28 to 507 of the family's 1533-position model. The record is from RNAcentral.
GACGAACGCUGGCGGCGUGCCUAACACAUGCAAGUCGAACGGAAAGGCCCUGUUCUUGUGGGGUGCUCGAGUGCCGAACGGGUGUGUAUCACGUGAGUAGACUCUCCCUUACUUUGGGAUAACUUCUGGAAACAGGGGCUCUUAUCGGACAGGAGCUCUUGCUGCAUGGUGGGGGUUGGUAAGAUUCGCCGGUUGGGGAUGCACUCGCGGCCUAUCAGCGUGUUGGUGGGGUAGUGGCGUACCAGCGCACUGACGGGUAGCCGGCCUGCGAGGGUGACCGGCCACAUUGGGACUGAGAUAGGGCCAAGACUCCUACGUGAGGCAGCAGUGGGGAAUAUUGCACAAUGGGCGGAAGCCGUAUGCAGGAACGCCGGGUGCGGGAUGACUGCUUUCGGGGUGUAAACCGCGUUCGCCUGGGACGAAGCGUGAGUGACGGUAAUGGGUAAAGAAGCACCGGCUAACUACGUG